UGAGUAGGCCGGAUGGUCGCGGACGAUGUGCUGAAAAGCCUCGUACGAGGAAAGUCCGGGCUCCACAGGGCAAAGGUGCCGGAUAACACCCGGUGAAGGCGACUUUAAGGAAAGUGCAACAGAAAUAAACCGCCAUGCCAGAGGUUAGAUGUUGGAAGCAGUGAUAUUUGCAUCUUGUUUCCCGCCUCUAACCCCUGGCAUGGUAAGGAUGGAAAGGUGAGGUAAGAGCUCACCGGCCCGACGGCAACGAAGGGCGCUAUGUAAACCCCACCUGGAGCAACACCGUGAAAAGAAACCAUAAGGCUGCCCGCCUGUUUCUUAGAGGUGGCUAAAGCCUUGUAGCAAUACAAGGCGUAGAUAGAUGAUCAUUCAAGACAGAACCCGGCUUACAGGUCUGCUCAUUUU
RNAcentral lists this RNase P RNA (405 nucleotides) under Clostridiaceae bacterium. Its description in RNAcentral is "RNase P RNA component class A". It matches the Rfam family "Bacterial RNase P class A". From Rfam's summary of the family: Ribonuclease P (RNase P) is a ubiquitous endoribonuclease, found in archaea, bacteria and eukarya as well as chloroplasts and mitochondria. Its best characterised activity is the generation of mature 5'-ends of tRNAs by cleaving the 5'-leader elements of precursor-tRNAs. Lineage: Bacteria; Bacillati; Bacillota; Clostridia; Eubacteriales; Clostridiaceae. The record is from RNAcentral.